UACGGAGGGAGCUAGCGUUGUUCGGAAUUACUGGGCGUAAAGCGCGCGUAGGCGGCUUUGUAAGUCAGAGGUGAAAGCCCGGGGCUCAACCCCGGAACUGCCUUUAAAACUGCAUCGCUUGAAUCCGGGAGAGGUGAGUGGAAUUCCGAGUGUAGAGGUGAAAUUCGUAGAUAUUCGGAAGAACACCAGUGGCGAAGGCGGCUCACUGGACCGGCAUUGACGCUGAGGUGCGAAAGCGUGGGGAGCAAACAGG
Molecule: ribosomal RNA, 253 nt
Filed under: uncultured bacterium
Lineage: Bacteria
Description: partial 16S ribosomal RNA
Rfam family: Bacterial small subunit ribosomal RNA
Source: RNAcentral